UAAGGGCGCACGGUGGAUGCCUUGGCACUAGAAGCCGAUGAAGGACGUUACUAACGACGAUAUGCUUUGGGGAGCUGUAAGUAAGCUUUGAUCCAGAGAUUUCCGAAUGGGGAAACCCAGCAUGAGUUAUGUCAUGUUAUCGAUAUGUGAAUACAUAGCAUAUCAGAAGGCACACCCGGAGAACUGAAACAUCUUAGUACCCGGAGGAAGAGAAAGAAAAUUCGAUUCCCUUAGUAGCGGCGAGCGAAACGGGAAGAGCCCAAACCAACAAGCUUGCUUGUUGGGGUUGUAGGACACUCUAUACGGAGUUACAAAGGACGACAUUAGACGAAUCAUCUGGAAAGAUGAAUCAAAGAAGGUAAUAAUCCUGUAGUCGAAAAUGUUGUCUCUCUUGAGUGGAUCCUGAGUACGACGGAGCACGUGAAAUUCCGUCGGAAUCUGGGAGGACCAUCUCCUAAGGCUAAAUACUCUCUAGUGACCGAUAGUGAACCAGUACCGUGAGGGAAAGGUGAAAAGCACCCCGGAAGGGGAGUGAAAUAGAACCUGAAACCGUGUGCUUACAAGUAGUCAGAGCCCGUUAAUGGGUGAUGGCGUGCCUUUUGUAGAAUGAACCGGCGAGUUACGAUUUGAUGCAAGGUUAAGCAGUAAAUGUGGAGCCGUAGCGAAAGCGAGUCUGAAUAGGGCGUUUAGUAUUUGGUCGUAGACCCGAAACCAGGUGAUCUACCCUUGGUCAGGUUGAAGUUCAGGUAACACUGAAUGGAGGACCGAACCGACUUACGUUGAAAAGUGAGCGGAUGAACUGAGGGUAGCGGAGAAAUUCCAAUCGAACCUGGAGAUAGCUGGUUCUCUCCGAAAUAGCUUUAGGGCUAGCCUCAAGUGAUGAUUAUUGGAGGUAGAGCACUGUUUGGACGAGGGGCCCCUCUCGGGUUACCGAAUUCAGACAAACUCCGAAUGCCAAUUAAUUUAACUUGGGAGUCAGAACAUGGGUGAUAAGGUCCGUGUUCGAAAGGGAAACAGCCCAGACCACCAGCUAAGGUCCCAAAAUAUAUGUUAAGUGGAAAAGGAUGUGGCGUUGCCCAGACAACUAGGAUGUUGGCUUAGAAGCAGCCAUCAUUUAAAGAGUGCGUAAUAGCUCACUAGUCGAGUGACACUGCGCCGAAAAUGUACCGGGGCUAAACAUAUUACCGAAGCUGUGGAUUGUCCUUUGGACAAUGGUAGGAGAGCGUUCUAAGGGCGUUGAAGCAUGAUCGUAAGGACAUGUGGAGCGCUUAGAAGUGAGAAUGCCGGUGUGAGUAGCGAAAGACGGGUGAGAAUCCCGUCCACCGAUUGACUAAGGUUUCCAGAGGAAGGCUCGUCCGCUCUGGGUUAGUCGGGUCCUAAGCUGAGGCCGACAGGCGUAGGCGAUGGAUAACAGGUUGAUAUUCCUGUACCACCUAUAAUCGUUUUAAUCGAUGGGGGGACGCAGUAGGAUAGGCGAAGCGUGCGAUUGGAUUGCACGUCUAA
RNAcentral lists this ribosomal RNA (1503 nucleotides) under Staphylococcus aureus. Its description in RNAcentral is "partial 23S ribosomal RNA". It matches the Rfam family "Bacterial large subunit ribosomal RNA", at positions 12 to 1515 of the family's 2925-position model. The record is from RNAcentral. Lineage: Bacteria; Bacillati; Bacillota; Bacilli; Caryophanales; Staphylococcaceae.